Molecule: transfer RNA, 75 nt
Filed under: Patescibacteria group bacterium
Lineage: Bacteria
Description: tRNA-Arg
Rfam family: tRNA
About the family: Transfer RNA (tRNA) molecules are approximately 80 nucleotides in length.
Source: RNAcentral
GCCCCCGUAGCUCAAUGGACAGAGCAAUACCCUUCUAAGGUAAAGAUGGGGGUUCGAUUCCUCCCGGGGGCACCA